Molecule: long non-coding RNA, 548 nt
Organism: Trifolium pratense (red clover)
Lineage: Eukaryota; Viridiplantae; Streptophyta; Magnoliopsida; Fabales; Fabaceae
Exons: 2
Source: RefSeq, a predicted model, not a curated record
GCAACCACACCAUUUGGAUACACGUAAAAGACAUUUAAUAAUUAUACUAGCUUUAUGAUUUCCUAAAGAAAACAUUAAAAUUGAUACGAAAAAUUCAUGUGCUACAUCAAAAGAAGAAAAACAAAUAUGCCAAAAAUUCUCAAAUAUGUUUAUGCUAUGAACGUCUUUAUUUCCCUAUAUUUUGUUUUAAGUGAUGCAAACUCAGAUAAUCUAACCGUGAUCCCCCCUAUCAAGUCCAAAGCCAAUCACUACUGAACCAACGAUUGAUUUAAAAUUUUAUUCUUACAUUCUACAUAAUUUUUGUCCCCUUUCAUUAACACUCCUAUCUUCUUAUAUCACAGGAUCAUCUGUGCCUUGUAUUGGCGACAAAAAUUGUCCUGAUUCUUUAUGUUUCCCUUUAAUGAUAGCGAUUUGUUCGAACCAUAUGUGUUUUUGUAUUUAGCAACAUUAGAUAAGUUGAAAAUAGUAUGUUACUUCUAAACCUAUGAUUUUAAUUACAAAUCAUAUUGUUACUUUCAUAUUUUGAUUUAUAAUCUUUCAAUCUUUCA